This 497-nucleotide ribosomal RNA is filed under the name uncultured bacterium. RNAcentral's name for it is "partial 16S ribosomal RNA". It matches the Rfam family "Bacterial small subunit ribosomal RNA", at positions 28 to 507 of the family's 1533-position model. The record is from RNAcentral.
GAUGAACGCUGGCGGCGUGCCUAAUACAUGCCAGUCGAGCGAACAGACGAGGAGCUUGCUCCUCUGACGUUAGCGGCGGACGGGUGAGUAACACGUGGAUAACCUACCUAUAAGACUGGGAUAACUUCGGGAAACCGGAGCUAAUACCGGAUAAUAUAUUGAACCGCAUGGUUCAAUAGUGAAAGACGGUUUUGCUGUCACUUAUAGAUGGAUCCGCGCCGCAUUAGCUAGUUGGUAAGGUAACGGCUUGCCAAGGCAACGAUGCGUAGCCGACCUGAGAGGGUGAUCGGCCACACUGGAACUGAGACACGGUCCAGACUCCUACGGGAGGCAGCAGUAGGGAAUCUUCCGCAAUGGGCGAAAGCCUGACGGAGCAACGCCGCGUGAGUGAUGAAGGUCUUCGGAUCGUAAAACUCUGUUAUUAGGGAAGAACAAAUGUGUAAGUAACUAUGCACGUCUUGACGGUACCUAAUCAGAAAGCCACGGCUAACUACGUG